UUCUCAAUCGUAUAACGGUCAGUAUGCUCGCUUGUCAUUACAGAAUUGUAUUGCGCGGGAGAUCAGGGUUCGAUUCCCUGUUGGGAAG
Cryptococcus amylolentus CBS 6039 is the source of this 88-nucleotide transfer RNA. It matches the Rfam family "tRNA". Rfam says of the family: Transfer RNA (tRNA) molecules are approximately 80 nucleotides in length. Their secondary structure includes four short double-helical elements and three loops (D, anti-codon, and T loops). The record is from Rfam. NCBI's taxonomy places the organism in Eukaryota, Fungi, Basidiomycota, Tremellomycetes, Tremellales, Cryptococcaceae.